CGCCAUAAAUGCGACCCCAGGAUGGGCGGGAU
This 32-nucleotide ribosomal RNA is filed under the name Arthrochilus dockrillii. RNAcentral describes it as "partial 26S ribosomal RNA". The record is from RNAcentral. Lineage: Eukaryota; Viridiplantae; Streptophyta; Magnoliopsida; Asparagales; Orchidaceae.